UUGACGGAGAGUUUGAUCCUGGCUCAGGACGAACGCUGGCGGCGGGCCUAAUACAUGCAAGUCGAACGCAGUCGACCUUCGGGUCAUAUGACUGAGUGGCGAACGGGUGAGUAACACGUGAGAAACCUGCCCCGAAGACUGGAAUAACCCGAGGAAACUCGGGCUAAUACCGGAUGUCCCCAGAUGGCCGCAUGGCCGACUGAGGAAAUGCUCCGGCGCUUUGGGAGGGUCUCGCGGCCUAUCAGCUUGUUGGUGAGGUAACGGCUCACCAAGGCUUCGACGGGUAGCUGGUCUGAGAGGACGAUCAGCCACACUGGGACUGAGAUACGGCCCAGACUCCUACGGGAGGCAGCAGUAGGGAAUCUUGCGCAAUGGGCGAAAGCCUGACGCAGCCACGCCGCGUGAGUGAUGAAGGCCUUCGGGUCGUAAAGCUCUUUCAGCAGGGACGAAAAUGACGGUACCUGCAGAAGAAGCCCCGGCCAACUACGUGCCAGCAGCCGCGGUAACACGUAGGGGGCAAGCGUUGUCCGGAUUUAUUGGGCGUAAAGGGCUCGUAGGCUGUUCAGUAAGUCAGGUGUGAAAACUCGAGGCUCAACCUCGAGAUGCCACUUGAUACUGCUGUGACUAGAGUUCGGUAGAGGAGUGUGGAAUUCCUAGUGUAGCGGUGAAAUGCGCAGAUAUUAGGAGGAACACCAACAGCGAAGGCAGCACUCUGGGCCGAUACUGACGCUGAGGAGCGAAAGCGUGGGGAGCGAACAGGAUUAGAUACCCUGGUAGUCCACGCCGUAAACGGUGGGCACUAGAUGUGGGAUCCAGUCAACGGAUUCCGCGUCGUAGCUAACGCAUUAAGUGCCCCGCCUGGGGAGUACGGCCGCAAGGCUAAAACUCAAAGGAAUUGACGGGGGCCCGCACAAGCGGCGGAGCAUGUUGCUUAAUUCGAGGCAACGCGAAGAACCUUACCUGGGUUUGACAUGUAGGGAAAAGCCAUAGAGAUAUGGUGUCCUUAGGGGCCUUACACAGGUGGUGCAUGGCUGUCGUCAGCUC
This 1044-nucleotide ribosomal RNA is filed under the name Acidimicrobiales bacterium. RNAcentral's name for it is "bacterial SSU rRNA". It matches the Rfam family "Bacterial small subunit ribosomal RNA", at positions 1 to 1061 of the family's 1533-position model. Lineage: Bacteria; Bacillati; Actinomycetota; Acidimicrobiia; Acidimicrobiales. The record is from RNAcentral.